AUCGCUUCUCGGUCUUUUGGCUAAGAUCAAAGUGUAGUAUCUGUUUUUAUCAGCUUAAUCUCUGGUACGGCCUCCAUAAGGGACCCAGAAGAUUAAACUGAUUUUUGGAAAAUGACUGAGUGCUAGGGGCUUGCUCCACCUCUGUCGCGGGUUGACCCGGUAUUGCAGUACCUCCGGGAACGGCUCACAUUUU
This 193-nucleotide small nuclear RNA is filed under the name Rhodnius prolixus. RNAcentral's name for it is "U2 spliceosomal RNA". It matches the Rfam family "U2 spliceosomal RNA". From Rfam's summary of the family: U2 is a small nuclear RNA (snRNA) component of the spliceosome (involved in pre-mRNA splicing). Complementary binding between U2 snRNA (in an area lying towards the 5' end but 3' to hairpin I) and the branchpoint sequence (BPS) of the intron results the bulging out of an unpaired adenosine, on the BPS, which initiates a nucleophilic attack at the intronic 5' splice site, thus starting the first of two transesterification reactions that mediate splicing. The record is from Rfam by way of RNAcentral. Lineage: Eukaryota; Metazoa; Arthropoda; Insecta; Hemiptera; Reduviidae.